This 74-nucleotide transfer RNA is filed under the name Desulfobacterales bacterium. RNAcentral describes it as "tRNA-Pro". It matches the Rfam family "tRNA". Rfam says of the family: Transfer RNA (tRNA) molecules are approximately 80 nucleotides in length. Their secondary structure includes four short double-helical elements and three loops (D, anti-codon, and T loops). The record is from RNAcentral. RNAcentral also lists the same sequence under 1 other name. Lineage: Bacteria; Pseudomonadati; Thermodesulfobacteriota; Desulfobacteria; Desulfobacterales.
CGGGGCAUGGUGAAAUGGUAUCACGCGUGCUUUGGGAGCAUGAGUCCUGGGUUCGAUUCCCUGUGCCCCGACCA